AUGACGUUAAAUCUGAAGGAAGCUGACAGCAAAACGCAUGUUCAACGGACAGGAAGCGGAUAUGAGGCGGUCUAGGCGUUUUUUUUUGAGGGGAGGGGGCUAAAGUACCCAACGCCCAAUACUCAUACAAGACCCUAGGACGUAGAUCCGAUGGACAGGCGGGAAAGAA
This 169-nucleotide non-coding RNA is filed under the name Turicimonas muris. Lineage: Bacteria; Pseudomonadati; Pseudomonadota; Betaproteobacteria; Burkholderiales; Sutterellaceae. The record is from RNAcentral.